CACAUUCAUUCACCACUCACUCAUUGAUUUACCCAGAGCAACUUCUACUCUCGCAAGCUCCAUUCAUGAAUUUGUGAAGGAGACAACUGUUGUUUCGUCUGUAUUAUAGAAGACGAGCAAAGUCACAGAAAUCGUCUUGAGUCACAUAGGAGAGAAAAGGGGUUGGGGACAAGACACUGGUCUCAUCCACUGGGCCAGAGAGACAAGAGAAGAAAUGGCCUUCGCCAUCUAGGAGAGAACGGGGCUUGGAGGUAAGACACUGGUCUCACCCACUGGGCCAGAGAGACAA
Long non-coding RNA from Tupaia belangeri chinensis (Chinese tree shrew), 289 nucleotides. RefSeq lists it as uncharacterized. The record is from RefSeq and is a predicted model, not a curated record. Lineage: Eukaryota; Metazoa; Chordata; Mammalia; Scandentia; Tupaiidae. The transcript is spliced from 4 exons.